Long non-coding RNA from Anguilla rostrata (American eel), 3548 nucleotides. RefSeq lists it as uncharacterized. NCBI's taxonomy places the organism in Eukaryota, Metazoa, Chordata, Actinopteri, Anguilliformes, Anguillidae. The transcript has 2 exons. The record is from RefSeq and is a predicted model, not a curated record.
CUUUCUGACAGUUUUGUGUUUUUUUCAUAUGAUCGUGGUUUUGUGUUUUAUUGUGCCUUUGUUUUUAUAUAUGUGAUGUCAUUGGUGUGUUAAGAGUGGAAAUAAAGGAUGGUUAAAAUUCUGUUCUGCUGUUCUUACAGUGUGGACCAUGGAGGAGAGAACAGGACCAAACCAGGACCCAGGAAAUACGGCUGUCAGCUCACACUGGAUCCAAACACAGCGCACAGAGAGCUGUCUCUGUCUGAGUGGAACAGGAGGGUGACACACACACCGGGGAGAGAGGAGCCAUAUCCUGAUCAUCCAGAGAGAUUUAAGCACCGGACCCAGGUUGUGUGCGGAGAGAGUGUGUGUGAGCGCUGUUACUGGGAGGCUGAGUUGAGGGUGUCUGAGAGCGGAGAGGUUUAUAUAGCAGUGACAGAUAAAGGAAGCAGCAGGAAAGGACGGGGUUUUGACUGUGUGUUUGGAUGGAAUAAAAACUCCUGGAGUCUGGGCUGCUAUAAAGUCAGAGUCUCUGAUAAACUCAGUUACUGUGUCUGGCACAAUGAUAACAAAACACACAUUCCUGCCCCCCCCUCCCCCUACCGCAGAGCAGGAGUGUGUGAUGAUGAUGAUGAUGAUGGUGGAGGAGUGUGUGUGUACAGGGUAGGAGUGUGUGUGGACCGUCCAACCGGCACUCUGUCUUUCUACAGCGUCUCUGACUCUGACACACUGACCCUCCUGCACAGAUUCCACACACACUUCACUCAACACAAACCCCUCUGUGCUGGAUUUUAUGUGAAUAACUCCUCCUCAGUGUCCCUCUGCCAACUGGAGUAGACACACACACACAAACAUGCACUCACGCACACACACACAUGCCUGCAGAGACACAAACACGUGUCAACACACACUCCUCAGUGUCCCUCUGCUAACUGGAGUAGACACACACACAUGCGCGCACACACACACACAUGCAUACACACACACGUGAGCAUACACACUCCAACGCAUGCACACACACACACAGACAUAUAUAUACACACACUCUCAUGUACAGAUACACACACUCAAUCACACACUCACACACACACACACACACACACACACGUAUAUACACACACACACACUCAUACACACACACACACUCGUAUACACAUACACACACACUCAAUCACACACUCACACAUAUAUAUAUACACACUCAUAUGCACCUAGACUCACACACAUGCACUCACACAUCUACACACACUCUCGCACAACCAGUCACACACACACCCUCUCUCUCUCACAUACACUCCAUCACACACACACAUACUCUCACACACACCCUUUCUCUCUCAGUCAUGCACACGCACUCACAAAUACAUACACUCAUGUUUACUCAUGCACACGCACUCACAGACCUAUGCACGCACACUCUCUCACACCCAGUCACUCACACACACCUACACACGGACACACAAUCUCACGCACACACACACGCGCAUGCACACAUACACGCGCUCAUACACACACACUUUUUCUCUCACUCACACACUCACAUACAGUAUACAGACACACACAUUCGCAAACGCACGCACACACACACAUUUAUGCAAUCACGCACAAACACAAACGUGUCAACACACACACAUUCUCAUUCCCAUACGCACGCACGCACACACAUGUAUAAACACACACAUUCUCUUACCCAUACGCACACACACACACUCAUGCACUCACACAUGCAUACACAUACAUGCGUGCACACACCAUAUACACAUGUAUACACAAACAUUCUCAUACCCAUACAUACACACACACACACAUGUAUAAACACACACACAUUCACAAAGGCACUCUCACGCACACACACAUACACAUACAUACACUCAUUCUCUUGCACGCACACACACUCAAAUAAACAAUCACACACACAUUCACACAAACGCAUGCACACACACUUUCUCUUACCCAUACACACACGCACCCGUGUGUACACACACACAUACUCAUGCACUCAAUCAUACUCUCACACAUGCACACACACAUACAUGCGUGCACACGCACACACAUUCUCUUACCCAUACACACACAAUCCGGGCACACACAUACUCAUGCACUCACACACAUACACACACAUGUUCACAUCCACAGUCACUCCCACAAACGUACGCAUGUAUGCACACACAUUCACAAAUUCACGCACACAAACACACUCUCACCCAAUCACACACACACACACUCAUCGACACACUUGCAACCUUCCUUGACCAAUGCCUGACCAGUGCAAUUUCAGCUGUGCCCAAUAUUAUAUAUAUAUAUAUAUAACCUCACUACAACCUAACUCCUGUACAUAAGAGUAUUAUCUUUUAGCAGUUCAGGUUAAGCACUUGCUGUCUAAAUGUGAUUUUUACAUUUUAAUACAUUUAUAUUGCAAAUGUUCAAGGUGUGUUAAUGUACUUUUGAUUAUUAAAACAUUAAUAUUAAAACAUUAAUAAAACAUUACUGCCGUUGUACCCUUAAGCAACGUACUUAACCGAAAUUGCUUCAGUAUAUGUCCAGCUGUAUAAAUGGAUACAAUGUAAAAAAUGCUAUGUAAAAAAAUAAAAAAUAAAAAAGUUGUGUAAGUCGAUCUGGAUAAGAGCGUCUGCUAAAUGCCUGUAAUGUAAUGUAAUGUAAUUAAUGUAGUGGUAAAAAUAGGUUCAGUUUCUGUCCUUUUGUUUCCUAUGUUCCAGUAAACGUUUCCCACUUUUAUCCACUUCACUACUUCUACCGGGAGUUGUCUGACGCGUGUUGCAAUGGAAAUAAAACGUAUUAUUGUUAUUGCUUUUGUUGAAUUUAUUUACAAAUUAAAUUAACAUAAAACUGCAAUAAUAAACAAAAACGAUAUUAAAGUCCAUUUAAACUUUUCCAGAUUCCACGGGCCCACUUUGGUUGUGCAAAACACGGUCAAUGACCGUUUCCGCUCGCACCCGUCUACUCCCGCUGGCCCGCCUCACCGCACCAUCUUAAAUAUAAUUUAUUCCCCCUUCUCCUAUAGAGGGACACAUUCAUAAAAUAAUUAAUGCACACUAAACAAUAAAUAACAAAUACAUGAUAAAUUCCAUUAUAAUUUCAACUUAAAUGUAGAACAGAAUAAACAAAUGCCAUAAUAGUUUUUUGGGGUUCUUAUUAUAAUUACUAUAAACCAACAUAAUGGCUCCUACAAUUAAUAUAACAUUGAGAAUAAUAAUGCCAAAAGAUGGCAGGGUAAAAUGUUUUUGAAGUAAUAAUUCUAUCUCCUGUAUCUGCAUCUUUUUUUAAAGAAUCCAGUGGCAAACUCCUCCACUUAAAUGUGCAUUUUACUAGUUUUUACCGUUGCUUUCAUUCAUUUUCACAAGAGUUCCAAUGUGCAAAUUUCUGUGGGCAAAUGCAGCUGACAGGGAGAAUGCAGAAUGAUCGCUGCAGUGUACUUAUUUCCUUUCAUUACUGUAAACAAUGAUGGAUUGAGUUUCCUUAUUAAUUCUGUUAGGAUUGUUUUUUUCCCCCUUAAUUUUCUGUAUUUUCAGACAAUAAUAUGCAAUGAUUAAACCUGAAUUAUAAAAAUA